UACGUAGGUGGCAAGCGUUAUCCGGAAUUAUUGGGCGUAAAGAGCGCGCAGGUGGUUAAUUAAGUCUGAUGUGAAAGCCCACGGCUUAACCGUGGAGGGUCAUUGGAAACUGGUUGACUUGAGUGCAGAAGAGGGAAGUGGAAUUCCUAGUGUAGCGGUGAAAUGCGUAGAGAUUAGGAAGAACACCAGUGGCGAAGGCGAUUCUCUGGACUGUAACUGACGCUGAGGCUCGAAAGCGUGGGGAGCAAACAGG
RNAcentral lists this ribosomal RNA (253 nucleotides) under uncultured bacterium. Its description in RNAcentral is "partial 16S ribosomal RNA". It matches the Rfam family "Bacterial small subunit ribosomal RNA", at positions 524 to 776 of the family's 1533-position model. The record is from RNAcentral.